This 301-nucleotide ribosomal RNA is filed under the name uncultured bacterium. RNAcentral's name for it is "partial 16S ribosomal RNA". It matches the Rfam family "Bacterial small subunit ribosomal RNA", at positions 509 to 809 of the family's 1533-position model. The record is from RNAcentral.
CAGCCGCCACGGUAAUACGUAGGGUGCAAGCGUUAAUCGGAAUUACUGGGCGUAAAGCGUGCGCAGGCGGUUCGUUAAGACAGAUGUGAAAUCCCCGGGCUCAACCUGGGAACUGCAUUUGUGACUGGCAGGCUAGAGUAUGGCAGAGGGGGGUGGAAUUCCGCGUGUAGCAGUGAAAUGCGUAGAUAUGCGGAGGAACACCGAUGGCGAAGGCAGCCCCCUGGGCCAAUACUGACGCUCACGCACGAAAGCGUGGGGAGCAAACAGGAUUAGAUACCCCAGUAGUCCCUGUCUCUUAUAA